GAUGAACGCUGGCGGCGUGCCUAAUACAUGCAAGUCGAACGCUUUGUGGUUCAACUGAUUUGAAGAGCUUGCUCAGAUAUGACGAUGGACAUUGCAAAGAGUGGCGAACGGGUGAGUAACACGUGGGAAACCUACCUCUUAGCAGGGGAUAACAUUUGGAAACAGAUGCUAAUACCGUAUAACAAUGACAACCGCAUGGUUGUUAUUUAAAAGAUGGUUCUGCUAUCACUAAGAGAUGGUCCCGCGGUGCAUUAGCUAGUUGGUAAGGUAAUGGCUUACCAAGGCGAUGAUGCAUAGCCGAGUUGAGAGACUGAUCGGCCACAAUGGGACUGAGACACGGCCCAUACUCCUACGGGAGGCAGCAGUAGGGAAUCUUCCACAAUGGGCGAAAGCCUGAUGGAGCAACGCCGCGUGUGUGAUGAAGGGUUUCGGCUCGUAAAACACUGUUGUAAGAGAAGAAUGACAUUGAGAGUAACUGUUCAAUGUGUGACGGUAUCUUACCAGAAAGGAACGGCUAAAUACGUGCCAGCAGCCGCGGUAAUACGUAUGCUCCAAGCGUUAUCCGGAUUUAUUGGGCGUAAAGCGAGCGCAGACGGUUAUUUAAGUCUGAAGUGAAAGCCCUCAGCUCAACUGAGGAAUUGCUUUGGAAACUGGAUGACUUGAGUGCAGUAGAGGAAAGUGGAACUCCAUGUGUAGCGGUGAAAUGCGUAGAUAUAUGGAAGAACACCAGUGGCGAAGGCGGCUUUCUGGACUGUAACUGACGUUGAGGCUCGAAAGUGUGGGUAGCAAACAGGAUUAGAUACCCUGGUAGUCCACACCGUAAACGAUGAGUGCUAGGUGUUUGAGGGUUUCCGCCCUUAAGUGCCGCAGCUAACGCAUUAAGCACUCCGCCUGGGGAGUACGACCGCAAGGUUGAAACUCAAAGGAAUUGACGGGGACCCGCACAAGCGGUGGAGCAUGUGGUUUAAUUCGAAGCAACGCGAAGAACCUUACCAGGUCUUGACAUCCCUUGACAACUCCAGAGAUGGAGCGUUCCCUUCGGGGACAAGGUGACAGGUGGUGCAUGGUUGUCGUCAGCUCGUGUCGUGAGAUGUUGGGUUAAGUCCCGCAACGAGCGCAACCCUUAUUACUAGUUGCCAGCAUUCAGUUGGGCACUCUAGUGAGACUGCCGGUGACAAACCGGAGGAAGGUGGGGAUGACGUCAAAUCAUCAUGCCCCUUAUGACCUGGGCUACACACGUGCUACAAUGGCGUAUACAACGAGUUGCCAACCCGCGAGGGUGAGCUAAUCUCUUAAAGUACGUCUCAGUUCGGAUUGUAGGCUGCAACUCGCCUACAUGAAGUCGGAAUCGCUAGUAAUCGCGGAUCAGCACGCCGCGGUGAAUACGUUCCCGGGUCU
Molecule: ribosomal RNA, 1398 nt
Filed under: uncultured bacterium
Lineage: Bacteria
Description: bacterial SSU rRNA
Rfam family: Bacterial small subunit ribosomal RNA
Source: RNAcentral